GGGUGCUCGAGUGGCGAACGGGUGAGUAACACGUGAGUAACCUGCCCUUGACUUUGGGAUAACUUCAGGAAACUGGGGCUAAUACCGGAUAGGAGCUCCUGCUGCAUGGUGGGGGUUGGAAAGUUUCGGCGGUUGGGGAUGGACUCGCGGCUUAUCAGCUUGUUGGUGGGGUAGUGGCUUACCAAGGCUUUGACGGGUAGCCGGCCUGAGAGGGUGACCGGCCACAUUGGGACUGAGAUACGGACCAG
RNAcentral lists this ribosomal RNA (248 nucleotides) under uncultured Actinomycetales bacterium. RNAcentral describes it as "partial 16S ribosomal RNA". It matches the Rfam family "Bacterial small subunit ribosomal RNA", at positions 85 to 334 of the family's 1533-position model. The record is from RNAcentral. Lineage: Bacteria; Bacillati; Actinomycetota; Actinomycetes; Actinomycetales.